Molecule: long non-coding RNA, 10427 nt
Filed under: Homo sapiens (human)
Lineage: Eukaryota; Metazoa; Chordata; Mammalia; Primates; Hominidae
Description: HSALNT0305846
Source: RNAcentral
GUGGCUCCUUCACAAAUGAUUAGACACAAUCUCUUUAUUUCUGUACUUGUGAUGGUGAGUUCUCUUCAUGAUUUUGGAGCAGUGAGAUUGAAUGGAUACUGGUCUCCUGGGUUUUGGACUUGCAUUGGUCCUGUGGUCCCAUCUGUGUUAUUUUGCUGGGAAAUUUCUUCCCGUUGGACUGAGAAAGCUUACCCAAUGGGUGUACCAUCAUUGUGUCUUAAAAGAACACCCUUUUAAAUUCAGGGACUUAUAGGCAAAAGGGACUGUAGGCUUGUCUCAGAUGAGACGUUGAACCUUUUACAUUUGAGUUAAUGCUGGAAUGAGUUAAGACUUUUGGCAACUUUUGAAAAGGUGUGAUUGUAUUUUGCUCUGUGAGAAGGACAUGAGAUUCGGAGGGGUCAGGGUCAGAAUAACAUGGUUUGGCUGUGUUUCCCUACAGAAACUCAUGUGAAUUGUAAUCUUGAAUGUUGGAGAUGGGGCCUGGUGGAAGGUGAUUUAACCAUGGAUGGGAGGGGGUUGGAGUUGGAAGGAAAUAAAGUGGACAGUGUUGGGAGGAGUGGGUUGUCAGUAGGGUGGUGAGAGGAUGGUGGGUAUUAGGAAGCGGGAGUAGCCUGCUGCAGAGUCACAUCCUCAUGGAAAACCUCUGCUAGGGCAGUGCUCCUGUGGCUUUGCAGGCUUUAGCCCCCAUGGCUGCUCUCAUGGGCUGGGCUGGUGUUGAGUGCUUUUGCAUACUGAGGGUGCGGGCUGUUGGUGGGCUUAUGAAUCUGGGGUCUGGAGGAUGGUGGCCUCCUGUGUGGGGGCUCCAAGCCCAUAUUUCCCUUCUGCACUGCCAUAGUGGAAGUUUCCCAAGAGGCUCUGCCUCUGCAGGAGGCUUCUGCCUGGAAACAGUAGGCGGUGGUGUGUGUGGUGGAUCCUUCACCAGUGGUUAAUUUUGAUGCUGAUCUGAUAGUGAGUUCUCAUGUGAUCUGGUUGUAUAAUGGGCUGUGGCACCUCUUUUCUCUCUGUGUCUUGCUUCUAUUUCUGCCAUAUGAAACAUCUGAUUGCCACUUGGCCUUCUGAUGUGGUUAGGAGGGGCCUGAUCAGUGUGGGCCUGCUCAGUGGACCUAGUCAGUUGGGACUUGGUCAGUGAGGCCUGUUUAGUGGGAGCCUGGCCAGCAGGGGUCUGCUUAGGGAGGGUCUCAUUAGGGGGAUCCAGUAGUGGGGGUUUUGGCGAGUGGGGACCUAUUGGCAGCCAGUUGUUUGGUGUCUGGUCAGUGCAGACCUGGGCUGUGGGGCUUGACCAGUGGCGACCUGGUCAGCUGGGCUUAGUGGUGGCCUGGUCAGCAUGGGCUGGGUCACUGGUGACCAGGUCAAGGGCUGCUAUUCAGUGGAGGACUGGUCACAUGGGACCUAGUCAGCAGGGCCUGGUGGGCGUGUCCUCAUCAGUGAGUCCCUUGUCAGUGGGGACCUGAUCAGGGCAGCCUGGUCAUUGGAACCUCAUCAGUGGGGGCCUGGUCAGUGAUGACUUGGUCAGUGGUGGCUUUUGUAGCACUGGUCUAUGGGGUGACCCAGUCAGCGGGGACCUGAGUAGUCGGUGCCUGUUCAGUGGGGCCUACUCACUAGGGUCCCAGUCAGGGGCAUCUGGUCACCUCAGGCCUGGUUAGUAGGGGCCUGAUCAGUGGCAGCCUGUUCCCUGGAGGCCUGGUCAGUGGGGCCUCAUCUGUGGGGCCAGGUAAUGGGGUCAUGAUCAGUGGAAUCUGAUCAGUGAGGCCUUGUCAGUAAUGACCUAGUCAGUGAGGCCUUGUCAGUAAGGACCUGGUCCAUGAGGCCUUGCCAGUGAGGCCUUGUCAGUAAGGUCCUGGUCAGUGAGGCCUUGUCAAUAAGGACCUUGUCAGUGAGGCCUUGUCAGUGGGGCCUUGUCAGUAAGGACCUGGUCAGUGAGGCCUUGUCAAUAAGGUCCUGGUCAGUGAGGUCUUCUCAGUUAGGACCUGGUCCAUGAGGCCUUGUCAGUGGGGCCUUGUCAGUAAGGACCUGGUCAGUGAGGCCUUGUCAAUAAGGUCCUGGUCAGUGAGGACUUGUCAGUAAGGACCUGGUCCGUGAGGCCUUGUCAAUAAGGUCCUGGUCAGUGAGGAAUUGUCAGUAAGGAGCUCAUCCAUGAGGCCUUGUCAGUGAGGCCUUGUCAAUAAGGUCCUGGUCAGUGAGGCCUUGUUAGUAAGGACUUUGUCAGUGAGGCCUUGUCAGUGAGGCCUGGUCAGUAAGGUCCUGUUCAGUGAGGCCUUGUCCGUGAGGCUUUGUCAGUAAGGUCCUGGUCAGUGGAGUCAUGGUCAUUGUUGGCCUGGAAGCAGGGGUCUUGUUAGUGGGUCCUGGUGAUGGGGAUCUAAUCAGUGAGGGUGUGGUCAGGGAAGACCUGAUGUGUGGGGUCUGGUCAGCAGGAACCUGGUCAGUGGGGACUGCUGAGCGCUGCUUGGAGAAGCCAGGUGCAUUGCACGUUAUCGAGGGCCCUCUGGACAGCUGGGAUGGCCCAGUGAUGCCCAAUGGCCCGGUCAAAAGUAGACAAAGCAGUUGUUUGGAUGGACCUGGGAGAUGUUGCUCAGAGAUUCUGACAGGACAAAGGUGAAGAAAGGGUCAGAGUGUCUGGAGAGAUGGUCACAGUCUAUGGGCUGCACAGGAUGGAGAAAGCCAGGGAACAGGCAGGGUGGGCAGUGGGGUGCAGGGAGAGGCAGGUGCAUGGUGGGACGUCAGACCCUGUGAAGGCUGUGAGGGUGUCAGGUGGGUUGGGCUCCAGGUGCACCCUCAGUGCACUGGGUGGGUCUCACCCCAAGCUCCCUGGACCCCAGCCAGGUGAUGUGGUCACUCCCUGGGGGACUGCUCUCAGGCCCCGGCUACCUACCCUGGGCAGCGCUGUCCCAUCUCAGGACUGGACUUUCUCAGAUCCUGUAGAGGGCACAGACUCCACCCAGGAGGGGCAACCGCAUGGUGCAGCCUGAGCUCUCCAUGGGCCUGGAGCAUCCCCUGCCAGCCUUGUGCUCCCCAUUCUCCCAGGUCCCACUUUUCCAGUGUCAGCCAGCAGGGAUGCCCCGUCCUCCCUUCCCCAUGUGUCUCCUAGGCUGAAACUUGUGGCAGAUUGGGACAGGGAUGGUGCUUCCCUCAGGCCCAUUUGGGGAGGGGACUGGCUCCCAGACUGGUGCAGGUCCUCAGCUCUGCCUCGACUGGCUUAGAGUGAGAUGGAUCAGUCAGUUCCCUGAAGGUGAAGAUUAGAGACUGUCCCUGCUGUUGGGAGGCUAGUCUAGGGAUGGAGGACUUAACAGGUCCUCCCAGGCUGUCAGGCCUGGGCAGCACUGUCUUGUCUUAGGACUCAGAAAGUCCAGUCCUGAGAUGAGACAGUGCUGCCCAGGGCGGGUGUCUGGGACCUGACAACAUUCCCCCAGUGAUUGACCACAUCACACGUCCAGGGUCCAGUGAGCCUGGCCUCAGACGUGCCCAGUACACUGAAGGUGCACCUGGAGCCCACUCCACCUGAUGCCUCCACAGCCCUCGCAGGGCCUGACCUCCCAGCAUGCACCUGCCUCUCCCUGCACCCCAGCUGUCCACCAUGCCUGUUCCCUCACUUCCUCCAUCCUGUCCAGCGGGAUGGGAUGGACAUGGGAACAGCCUGUGUGCACAUUUCGUGGCGAGUGGGAAUGACACACCAUCUCUGGGAGGCACCAUGGUUCCUGGCAAACCCGAUCCCAAGACUUUAUCCUUGAGGUGGUUUUACCAAACCCCAAACCCAGAACUGCGGUUGUGGCUCAGGGGUCAGCUCCUGCUAGUGCCAGGACACUACUGGGAGGCUGGGACCCGACCAAAGCCCAUGGUGUCUCUGGCCUGAGGACCAGGUGUCUUGGGACCAUAAGGCCAGGCCACCAAUGGCCAUUGGGUCAUAGGGGCUCAGCCCCAAUCUUUGUCCUUCCCUGGCUCCUUCUGAUUCAGUCCCAUCAGGGCCCUGGAUCCCAAGACUCAGCAUCCAAGGUCCCCUCCAGGAAUCCUGGCAGCUCAGCAUACUUUAUCCUGUUUCAUCUGAGAGCAAAAAUGUAAAAUUGGAUGCACAGAAAAGUGACUCAAAGUGCUUAAUGACUAGAAGAAAUCUAGGAGCAGCAAGAAGGUAAUGUGGAGGGAGGGACCUCCAUGACCGGUGUCUGUAGAGCCAGGGGUACAGGCACCCAGUGCUGUGGCCUGGCACCACCUGCAUCUCAGAGGGUGGGUGGCACACUCCUUAACCAGAGGACAGCAGGCCUGGUCACCAGCUUUUCUACCUGUCCCUGUAAGCAUCACAUUGCUGGAGGAAAAUCUCAUGCCAGAGCUUGGACCAUCCCCUAGCUCAGGGGUUAGGGGUUGUCCCUUGGUGACCUAAAUGAAAAAACAGGUCCAGAACAGAGUUCCUGAUGCUGGACACUCAUUCAGUCUUUGAAUCGUGGGAGGGGAGGCCUGGUACUAGGUAGACCUAACCUCUUUGAGGAACCACAGAGCCCAAGGCUGGAAACCUCCAGAAUCCUCCACCCCCUUAUCCUCCCUGGGGACCCCUGUGGCCUGUCUCACUGAGCACUCUUCCAUCUGUAGAUGUCUGGGCUGCUGUACAAGGGAGUCCCCUUUCAGGUGUGGUGCUAGACAUGGUCACUCCUGCUGGAUGUCUAGGUGGUAGAAACCAAGGACCUAGGGAAAUACCAGGUACAGCCUUUCCACGCUCAUCCAGAGCAGGACAAACAGGCCAGGCGGUGUCAGGAGCCCAGGUCUCCAGCUGGAGGGAACGUCAACCCUGCAGUGGGAGCAGGGGCCCUUUGCACAUCCUAGGCACAGAUGGUAAUGUAGACACCACAGGUAAGCUGGGCUUGGUACCUACCCCUCCCCGGAUUCAGAAAGAAACCAAACAAGGAGCUUUGUGUGGAAUGAAACCUCCUUUCCUCCCAGAAGCACUGCUGAUUGUUUGGUGGUUGCCAUUUGUGGCAGUGAGCCCUUGUUUGUUCUGAGGUUGGGCUGGUUUCUCCUCUUGGCCCUGCCCUACAGAUCAUAAAGGAGAACAGCAAGACGUCCCCAGCAAACAUCCACAGAUGGCCUUGGAAAUAAGUCACCUUGUGAGAAACAUGUCAUGUUCUGGGAGGGAUAAGGCAUCAACCUCACCCUGCAGGAAUGCCAGUGAACAUAUUGCUGACAUCUUGGAGCUCAGUACCCUCAUAGUGUAACGGCGUCAGUAGAUCUGCCUGUGCUGGGACUUCCUGUACUACCCAUUCCUGAGGGGCGAUGCUUCUGCAGGGCCUGUGACUUGGUGCACAACUUCAGACACCAUCAUCUUGCAGCAGCACCGCACCCUCACUAGCCAGGGUGUUGAUGACUUCCUCAAGGCCAAGGCCACAUUCAAGGCUUCGGACUUCAUUGAUGCGCUUGUGCUGAGCAAGGUGGCUUCUCCGGGAUCUUAAUUCAGGAGGUAGAAUGGAGCUUGAGAUCAAGUGUCUGAUCAAGCCUCAGUGUAUGGGCGCUGUUCAUCCUCUGGUGCUGAAGCAGCCAAGAGACCCAAGUCUGCCUGGCUGCCUCUUAGGAUAUGACAGCAGAGCCAGUGGCCUCUACUAGAUCCUGUACAACCUCACAAAACACCCAGACAUCGGGAGUGCUGCCAGCCUGUGAUGCAAGAGUCCUAAUCCUGAAGACAUUGAAUGACCUGUCGUUGUGCUGUUUUUACCAAAAAGGAUCAUGAGGAUCAGAGAGGAAAAGUCACUUGCCCAAAGUCACACAGCUGAACAGUGGUGGAGUUCAACUUUGACCGUGGGCUGUCUGGCCCCAAGGUGUAUGCUUGCUUCUCUCCCAAGAGACUCCUUUCUUAUCAGGCUCAAAUGAAUGAAAGGAGGAUGUUAAAGACAACGCCAUUAUUGACGAGAUCACUCCCAAGCGGAUUGGAGAUUGUCCCAAUAUUUAGACCUAUAGCAAGGCCUUGGGAGAAAUGGUGGUGCAGCAGGAGAGCAGGAACCUAACCAUUGCCAUCCUAAGGCCCUCCAUUGUGUGGAGCAACGUGGCACCAGCUUUUCCUGGGUUGGGUUGAUAAUCUAAAUGGAUGUAGCCGACUCAUUAUUGCGGUAUGUAUAGGGAUGAAGAAGUAACUGUAAUGUAGUGGAGGAAUAGUAAGAAAAUUCUUAGUGCUGGCUUAGCUUAAUUGAUCCAAAAACAUAAAUGCUACUUUACUAUCAAUUGAAGCAUAUUAUUUCAAUUAUUCUGGUUAUAAUAUGGAGGCAGGAUGAAAUUGUUUUUAUUCUUUUAGAAUUUUUUUUUAUCAGGAAAACAGAGGUAAAGUGCUAUCAAUUACUAUUUAAGAGUUCUAUUUUGAAAAGUGAGAAUUAAGGAUUUUUCUUUUCUUUUUAAAAAAAACUUUUUUAAAAAUUAAAAAUAAAAGAAGCAAAAGUCUUAGGAAAAUGAAGCAAGUAGCCCUGCCACUCUAUGUACAGUAAUAACAAUAUCUGUCCCAGUUAUUAUGUACAAUAUUAUAAAAAAUGUCGCAGACAGUACAAAUUAAGGCCCUUAUUUCUCAAAGGACAUCAAGUCUUAUGCCCCGUGGGAGGGAAGAUGCCACUUAAUUAUUGCACCAUUUUGAAAAACAGAACUCGUCAAGGCGGAUAGUGGUCUUUUCCCACCUGGUCUUCAGUCACAGAUGGGGGCUGGGGCGGUGGCACCGUCUUCGUCGUCGAGGUAGACCCUAUGGAGCCACACCGCCCUGCCGGGUUCUCUGGGUGCAAUAAAUACCAGUCACAGUUUGGGAGGGGGCCGUGUGCAGGUGGGGAGGCCUCUGGGCUGCAUGUGCCGCUUCCUGUGCAGGGCAAGGUGGGCAGAGCGCAAGAAGGCAUGGUGGCACCAAUGGCCCUGAAAUGGCCAGUGGCCCCUGUGCUUGUGGUGGUGGAGCGUUAGCUUGUCUGAGUGAGCACGCUUCCAGCUGCUUCCAUCCCAGUGGCAGUGGUCGGGCUUGUCACUUGUGUGCUGCGCAGAUGUGCCUGCAGGGGAGAAUUCUUGCUGUAGGUCUGGCCGUAGCCACAUAGGUAUGCCUGGUGUUGCGGUUCCCAGGCCAGGAGCAGCUGUCACGCUUGGGCUUGGCCUCCAGCAGCUCCAGCGGGGACGCCGGUGCCACCACAAGGAGGCCGCGGGCGACUGGGGGUGCCAGGCCCAGGGCUGUGGCGGCGGCGGCCACCGCCUAAGAGACUAAAGACGGGCGUGGAGGGGCGGAGCUGGGCGGGGGGCGCCUCAUGAAGGCCGGGCUGGGUGUCCCAAACCAGGGCCACGGAAGGGCAGCGGGAAGGAGGCGUGCGGGCCGUAGGGGCUGAGGGGCAGGUGUUGGGGGCGGAAUGGGAGGGACCCGGGACCUCGCAUGCAUGAAGCUGCAGGCCCGGGGCGCCCUAGUGUUUGAGAGGACGCGCGAUCCAUACCUGAACCUGGGUGCGUAGCCGCCGCCAUCUGCUUCAGGGUGCUGGGCUUUGACCAGGUGGCUGGGCAGCACCAGUUGAAAGCGGUUGAGCAGGCAGGGCGCAGUGGCUCACGCCUGUAAUCCCAGCACUUUGGGAGACCAAGGCGGGCCGAUCACGGGGUCAGGAGAUGGAGACCAUCCUGGCUAACAGGGUGAAACCGCGUCUCUACUAAACAUACAAAAAAAAAAAAAAAGUAGCCGGGCGUGGUGGCGGACGCCUGUAGUCCCAGCACUUUGGAAGGCUGAGGCGGGCGGAUCACGAGGUCAGGAGAUGGAGAACAUCCUGGCUAACAGGUGAAACCCCGUCUCUACUAAAAGUACAAAAUCCAAUUAGCCGGGUGCGGUGGCGGGCGCCUGUAGUCCCAGCUACUCCGGAGGCUGAGGCAGGAGAAUGGCGUGAACCCAGGAGAUGGAGCUUGCAGUGAGCCGAGAUCGCGCCACUGCACUCUAGCCUGGGCAACCCAAGGAGACUCCAUCUCAAAACAACAACAACAACAACAACAACAACAACAACAACCAGCUGAGCAGCGCGGGCCAUCUGGCAGCGGGUCCAGCUCCAGGGCGCCGUAGGGCAGCGGAGUGCAGUGUUCGGGUAAUAGGACGCAGACGGCGGGGUCGCCGGGGGCUUCGGGGUGGCCUCAGCCCCAGGCCAUCCAGCCCUGUGGACCGAAUGGAGUCCCACACGCUGUUGAGGUAGUUGUGGGUUCCCCUGGCCUCGGGCUGGGCGCGGGGUCAGCGCGCCUGCAGGCGGCGCUUGCGGUACGGGCUGGUGAAAGUGGAGACGGACGGCAGGAUGGAUUCACUUGGCCACAUGGCACGAAGCUGGGAAGACGGACACCGGAACGUGAGGAACACGAGUAGUUCAAGAAAAUGCUGAAGAUGCGCUUGGCUGGGAAGCUAGGAUAGGCUGACGAAGUCAGACUUAGUGUGGGAACCUGGCUGGGAAAGGGUUUCUUUUGGCCAUAAAAGCUACUCCAAUGGCUGUGGGAGACUUAAUUCCAAUUCCAGGUGAUACAGCCGUCAGUCUCCCACUAGCUGUAGGAUGGUGUGCUGCAGUUCACAGGGUAAAGGAGAUAGAAGUGGAUGAAAUGAGAGAGUAUUUUUUUAACUGAACUCUGAUUAAUGCCAAAAGUGUUCAAUCACUAUGUGUGGGGAAGCUUCCUGGUACAAAGGAAAAAAAACAGGUUGUUCAUACACUUGGCUGUGUUAACCUAAGUCAAUGUUAGUCUACUACUGUACAUCUGGUAACCUCAAUCCCUGCAACCGAGGCAAAAUGGGAUUCCAGGUCUUGGCAACCUUUGAAAUUCCAAUUCCAUUUGCGAGAGCUUUGAGGAGGCCAUAUGCUGAUUUUACCACCAGCAACUUCACAACCCAGUACUGGAAUGCCAUCAGCCAGCAGGCCCCUGCCAUCAUCUGUGACUUCUAUCUGUGGCUCACUGGAAGGAAACCCAGCUACCGAAGGAAGAUACCCUCAUCAACCCAAUUUUACAAAUGGAGAAAUAGAAGCUAAGGGAAGAAUCUGAAGUAGUCUCAAAGGCAGUGACAGGAAGGAUGUGGAGAAAGCUGAGUGUCAAAGUCAGUAUUCAUGACUAGAUUUACUGCUACUUAGAGAUGAAUGAAGAAAUCAGAGGGAACGCAGUGUGCUGAUGCUAAAGCAGCUGUCACCACUCAGCUGUGUGACAUAGGACAUCUUCUUCCUCUGUCUCACUUGAAUAAUAUGAUGUGUCAGAGGAGACAUGAUUGUAAUUGCCUAAAGCAAUUUUUGUGAUCAAGAAUCAGAAACAUGAACAGUAUUGCUGUCUGUGUUAGCCCCUUUAUAAGGGAGGAAGUCAUCUUCAGCAUGUUGAAUUGUCAUCUUUCUUAGCAGUGCAAAUGACUAAAACUUAGCCAAUGUAGAGUUUAUCCAAAUUUGGAGCAAAGUGAAAAGAAACCAUUGUGAUUAUGGGGAAAAUAUUUGUAUGGGACUAUUAAAUAAAGACACGAAAAGAAGAAAACCCAAAUAUUAUAGGCAGAAAUGCUAAAGGUUAUAAAAUAUAUCAGGAUUGGAAGAAGGCAUGGAUAAAGAACAAAGUUCAGUUAGGAAAGAGAAACACAGAAGGAAGAGACACAAUAAAAGUCAUGUAUUCUGUGAGAAGUCAGACAGAUUUGUGGGGAAUGGAUUGGUUUGUUGUAUGGUAUGUAUUUUAGCAAUAAUCUUUAUGGCAGAGAAAGCUAAAAUCCCUUAGCUUGCAUGAAUGAUCACUUGCUAAAUUCCUCAAGGUAGGCAUGAUGAAGGAGGGUUUAGAGGAGACACAGACACAAUGAACUGACCUAGAUAGAAAGCCUUAGUAUACUCAGCUAGGAAUAGUGAUUCUGAGGACACACUGUGACAUGAUUAUGUCAUUACAUGUAUGGUAGUGAUGGGGAUGAUAGAAGGAAGAACUUAUGGCAUAUUUUCACCCCCACAAAAAUCAGUUAAAUAUUGGGACACUAACCAUCCAGGUCAAGAAAAGUCACAUGCCAUAGCCAUGGUAUUGCACAUCAUUCAUCUUGCAUUCUUUGAGAAUAAGAAGAUCAGUAAAUAGUUCAGAAGUGGGAAGCUUUGUCCAGGCCUGUGUGUGAACCCAAUGUUUUGUUUAGAAAUAGAACAAGUAAGUUCAUUGCUAUAGCAUAACACAAAAUUUGCAUAAGUGGUGGUCAGCAAAUCCUUGAAUGCUGCUUAAUGUGACGAGGUUGGUAAAAUCCUUUGUGCAACACUCUUACUCCCUGAAUGUUUUGCUGUGCUGGAACUUGUGCGUGCCAGACAAGGCCAAGCUGGGUGAAAGAGCAAUCAGCCACCUCUGCAACCUGCCACCUCCUGCUGGCAGGAUUUGUUUUUGCAUCCUGUGAAGAGCCAAGGAGGCACCAGGGCAUAAGUCUACUCACUUAUAUCUGUUUGUCUGAAACAUAACCCAUGUUUGUUUUUACAACAAAUAAAAUUGAUCUUGAAUAAAAA